RNAcentral lists this unclassified non-coding RNA (174 nucleotides) under soil metagenome. RNAcentral describes it as "partial internal transcribed spacer 1". The record is from RNAcentral.
CCUGAGUGAGGGCCCUGCCGGGUCCCGACCUCCACCCGUGUCUCUUGAACUACCCUGUUGCUUUCGGGGGCGACCCGGGAACCGGUUCGACGGGGCGACUGGCCCCCGAGGUCCGCGCCAGCAGCUGCAUCUGUGACCCUAAUGAGAAGGAUGUCUGAGUGAGAUAUAAUAUCA